GCUCAGGAUGAACGCUGGCGGCGUGCUUAACACAUGCAAGUCGAACGGGAUCCAUCAAGCUUGCUUGGUGGUGAGAGUGGCGAACGGGUGAGUAAUGCGUGACCGACCUGCCCCAUGCUCCGGAAUAGCUCCUGGAAACGGGUGGUAAUGCCGGAUGUUCCACAUGAUCGCAUGUGAUUGUGGGAAAGAUUCUAUCGGCGUGGGAUGGGGUCGCGUCCUAUCAGCUUGUUGGUGAGGUAACGGCUCACCAAGGCUUCGACGGGUAGCCGGCCUGAGAGGGCGACCGGCCACAUUGGGACUGAGAUACGGCCCAGACUCCUACGGGAGGCAGCAGUA
Molecule: ribosomal RNA, 336 nt
Filed under: uncultured bacterium
Lineage: Bacteria
Description: bacterial SSU rRNA
Rfam family: Bacterial small subunit ribosomal RNA
Source: RNAcentral